GGCAGCUCCAACCGCAGGCCCAGAAAGGGGCAUUGGACACAGACGAAGACCCGCAGAAAGGGAAGAUGGUGUGAAGAUAACAGGAGGAAGAUGCCGAGGAGAAGCCUGGAGCUGGGUCUCACCUCAUUGCCGCUGAGGGAAAUAGCCCUGCCCACAUUUCCAUUUUAGACUUUGGCUUGGAGAGCUUAGGGUCGAUAGUUUCUGUUGUUUGAGCCACCCCAUUGGUGGUGGUUGGUUAGGGCAGCUCCGGGAAACUCAAACAGUCCCCAAGCCAGGGAAAUAAGCCAGGGAGAGCAAGGGCAG
This 303-nucleotide long non-coding RNA is filed under the name Pan troglodytes (chimpanzee). RNAcentral describes it as "long non-coding RNA NONPTRT016886". The record is from RNAcentral. Lineage: Eukaryota; Metazoa; Chordata; Mammalia; Primates; Hominidae.